ACUGAGGUGGUUUAAAUUAGAGCGCUAUAUUGAAGCUAUAGAGGAAGGAUGUCCUCCUUGGUA
Molecule: transfer RNA, 63 nt
Filed under: Alicella gigantea
Lineage: Eukaryota; Metazoa; Arthropoda; Malacostraca; Amphipoda; Alicellidae
Description: tRNA-Phe
Source: RNAcentral